RNAcentral lists this ribosomal RNA (1280 nucleotides) under Salmonella enterica subsp. enterica serovar Infantis. RNAcentral's name for it is "bacterial LSU rRNA". It matches the Rfam family "Bacterial large subunit ribosomal RNA", at positions 1 to 1211 of the family's 2925-position model. Lineage: Bacteria; Pseudomonadati; Pseudomonadota; Gammaproteobacteria; Enterobacterales; Enterobacteriaceae. The record is from RNAcentral.
GGGUUGUGAGGUUAAGCGACUAAGCGUACACGGUGGAUGCCCUGGCAGUCAGAGGCGAUGAAGGGCGUGCUAAUCUGCGAUAAGCGCCGGUAAGGUGAUAUGAACCGUUAUAACCGGCGAUACCCGAAUGGGGAAACCCAGUGUGAUUCGUCACACUAUCAUUAACUGAAUCCAUAGGUUAAUGAGGCGAACCGGGGGAACUGAAACAUCUAAGUACCCCGAGGAAAAGAAAUCAACCGAGAUUCCCCCAGUAGCGGCGAGCGAACGGGGAGGAGCCCAGAGCCUGAAUCAGCAUGUGUGUUAGUGGAAGCGUCUGGAAAGGCGCGCGAUACAGGGUGACAGCCCCGUACACAAAAGCGCAUGUGCUGUGAGCUCGAUGAGUAGGGCGGGACACGUGGUAUCCUGUCUGAAUAUGGGGGGACCAUCCUCCAAGGCUAAAUACUCCUGACUGACCGAUAGUGAACCAGUACCGUGAGGGAAAGGCGAAAAGAACCCCGGCGAGGGGAGUGAAAAAGAACCUGAAACCGUGUACGUACAAGCAGUGGGAGCCCCACCACCAAAGCAUUCUCUGGUGUUGAAGGCCCUGCAAAGCAGCAUCGCGGUGGCGGAGCGUCGUUUGCGACGCCCAACACACAAAACAAGCGGUGAGUGCUUUGGGGUGGGGUGACUGCGUACCUUUUGUAUAAUGGGUCAGCGACUUAUAUUCUGUAGCAAGGUUAACCGAAUAGGGGAGCCGGAGGGAAACCGAGUCUUAAUUGGGCGUUAAGUUGCAGGGUAUAGACCCGAAACCCGGUGAUCUAGCCAUGGGCAGGUUGAAGGUUGGGUAACACUAACUGGAGGACCGAACCGACUAAUGUUGAAAAAUUAGCGGAUGACCUGUGGCUGGGGGUGAAAGGCCAAUCAAACCGGGAGAUAGCUGGUUCUCCCCGAAAGCUAUUUAGGUAGCGCCUCGUGAAUUCAUCUCCGGGGGUAGAGCACUGUUUCGGCUAGGGGGCCAUCCCGGCUUACCAACCCGAUGCAAACUGCGAAUACCGGAGAAUGUUAUCACGGGAGACACACGGCGGGUGCUAACGUCCGUCGUGAAGAGGGAAACAACCCAGACCGCCAGCUAAGGUCCCAAAGUCAUGGUUAAGUGGGAAACGAUGUGGGAAGGCCCAGACAGCCAGGAUGUUGGCUUAGAAGCAGCCAUCAUUUAAAGAAAGCGUAAUAGCUCACUGGUCGAGUCGGCCUGCGCGGAAGAUGUAACGGGGCUAAACCAUGCACCGAAGCUGCGGCAGCGA